Long non-coding RNA from Ipomoea triloba (trilobed morning glory), 1989 nucleotides. RefSeq lists it as uncharacterized. Lineage: Eukaryota; Viridiplantae; Streptophyta; Magnoliopsida; Solanales; Convolvulaceae. The transcript has 2 exons. The record is from RefSeq and is a predicted model, not a curated record.
UUAUUGCUGCAGCAAAUAUCAUGUCAUAGCAUAAGCAGACUUGGAAAAAGAUAUAAACUUCAAGUAGUUAUGCUAAGCUCUUCUCACAUUAGUCAAAGGCCACAACCCUAUGGUGAAUCUAGCAAUGAAGAGUUUGAAUCUGCCUAGCACACAGGUAAGUGGAAACGAGAGGAAUGCUAGAGAAUGAGGACAUGGAGUCCAUGGCAAAUGGCCAAGGGGAAAUCACGAGAUCAAACAAGUUAUUAUAUCAGUUUUGACAGAUUUCUUUUUUGAUUAAGACUAAACAUGUUUUAGGCUUCUUUAUCUUUGCUUCUCAUUAGUUUUCGUUAUAUUUUUAAAUAUCAUUAUGCUAUAAUAAUACAGCGUAUUUCUUUAUAGAAUUUCAUACUUUUCUUUCAUUAUAUAUGAACAAUAAAAACAGAUUCUUUGAAGGAGAAUUAUGGGCUGACCAUCCUCAUGAGUGAGUAUCCCCUUGAGCAGAAUAGGUAAAUUUGUAAUCGACUUUAGCCAAGCUAUAUCCUGCAUUUUUGGUAAGCAGCGCAAAAUAGUUAUAAAGAAAUUUGAUGGCACAUAUACAUGCUGUUUUUGUGAUAUUUCCCCUGUGAUUGGGCAAAGUUUAUUCAAACACCUAACCUCUUGAAUGAAUGUUGUUCAAUCAAAAAGAAGUUUGAAGGUAAAUCAUGUUUGAGAAUGACUUGAAUCAGAAAUUUCUCUUCUUUUUAUUAGUUAAAUCAGUUUUUUCCCUUUUAAUCUUAGUUGAAUCAGAAAUUCCCCUUGUGCCAUUGUAUUUAGAUGAUCAAGUAUACAUUGUGAUUUUAUACCUUCCAACUGAGGGAACUGUCAAGAGUUGUCGAAGCAUAGGCUUCAAGACCCGAACCACUGUCCUGCAAACAAUAGAUGAUUGAAUUCAUAGAAAAAGUUGCUGUUAGAUGCUGUUCUUUGUAAACUAAACGGAAAAAUGAGUUGAAAGAAAAAUGAGAUCAAGAACAGUUCAUAUGAGUUUUAUCCUUUCUUGAUGUCAAAACAGUUCUGUAGGAUUAUGCAGUGUAUAUGAGCUUAUGUACAGUUGAAUAUUUUCUGUGCUGUGGAUAAAGCUUUGGGUUCUUAACAAAAACAUGCUUAAUUUGAUUGGCAAUAAGUCUUACUUCCAACAUAUGAGUAAAACAGCGCCAUAAGAGAUGAGAAAACCUUUUUAAAUACACUUACAGGGACAACUGUGGUGGAGAUAAGCCCUUCAAAAUUCUUCAAUGGAGGUGAAAUAAAUCUGCAAUUUUGAAGAUAUAUGAUGUUCAUAUGGAAGGACAAGAAAAGCAAGUUUAUGGAUUCAUAGAUAUGGAGAUCGAGACAAAAAGGAUGAAGAGAAUACAUAGAUCUGAAAGAAGCGAACAGCAUUGCUGCUAGAGGCGACUUCCUCUAUCGUGCUGGAUGCUGAGAAUGACAGUCCCUAUCACAAUCAAGAAUUCAAGAGUGACUUUAACAUUAACAUCAGUUUUAAGCGCACCGGCAGCCUAAAAGGACACUACACCGGAAGAACUUUAGUACCAUUAUGACGUUACUUGCAGCUGCUGCUCUCGCUGUUGCAACUUCCCCUGGAAAAAGAUUUCACCGUCUUCUUGAGUCAGAGCAACACGCCAACUUCAACUAAACUAAGCUAAUCGAGUAAGAAGCAUACCAUCAGGAUGUGCGAGUUUAUGCAUGGCGGUUGGGCCAACCAUAAUGGGAGCCGAUGUCUUGUACCCCAAAAUUGUGGUUGACAUAUCAAUUCUGCUCACAUCAAUAAGAACUCUCGGCCGAAUACUGAAACCGGUGGGGAAGUUGAUGUUCAGAUACAUGUUGAGCAUAGAAUAUAUAAACAUAAAUGUGCAAUCCAACUAUCAGCUUAAGCUUUUAGUUGAGAUGGAGCACAUGUUUCAAUUAUACAGACUCUGAUGAAAGCAAACUAACUAUUAGCUUAAGUUUUUGGUUGAGAUGGAGCACAUGUUUCAAUUA